AAGUCGUAACAAGGUCUCCGUUGGUGAACCAGCGGAGGGAUCAUUAUCGACAAUUAUAAGUUAUAUGGUACAUGUCUUACAUAAUACAAACAAAACUUUCAACAACGGAUCUCUUGGCUCUGGCAUCGAUGAAGAACGCAGCGAAAUGCGAUACUUAAUAGAAGUUGCAUACGUGAGUCAUCGAGUUUUUGAACGCACAUUGCGCCUGCUGGUACUCCAGCAGGCACGUGGGAGUGAGCGUCAUUUAUAUCGUAGAAGCUGUGUUGUGAUUUCGCGAGAUUCACUAAUUCUAUUGCAAGCAUGCUGAUGUGGUGCUGAAGCAAAAAUGCUUUGACCUCAUUCUCACGGGGACACCCGCUGAACUUAAGCAUAUCAAUAAGCGGAGGAAAAGAAACCAACAGGGAUUGCCUCAGUAACGGCGAGUGAAGCGGCAACAGCUCAAAUUUGAAAUCGGGAAACCGAGUUGUAAUUUAUAGAGGAUGUUUCUGGCAAGGCCGCACCCGAGUUCCAUUGAACAGGACACCACGGAGGGUGAAAGUCCCGUACGGUGCAGGCGGCGCUGGUGUGAAGCUCCUUCAAAGAGUCGAGUAGUUUGGGAAUGCUGCUCUAAAUGGGAGGUAAAUUUCUUCUAAAGCUAAAUACCGGCCAGAGACCGAUAGCGCACAAGUAGAGUGAUCGAAAGAUGAAAAGUACCCUGGAAAGAGGGUUAAAAGUACGUGAAAUUGUUGAAAGGGAAGCACUUGUGAUCAGCCGUGGUGUGGCGGGCCAGCCUCCCUUUUAUUUUGAAAAGAGGCAUGUCCCGACUGCACCAGGUCGGCGUCGGUUUGGCGGGCGCUACAAAAGCCAGGGGAAUGUGACUUGCCUCGGCAAGUGUUACAGCUCCGGUGCAAUGGCGUCAGCUGAACCGAGGACUGCCAUUGAUGGACGCCGACGUAAUGGUCCCCAGUGACC
This 951-nucleotide ribosomal RNA is filed under the name uncultured fungus. RNAcentral's name for it is "eukaryotic LSU rRNA". The stretch from base 332 to 951 matches the Rfam family "Eukaryotic large subunit ribosomal RNA", at positions 1 to 649 of the family's 3401-position model. The record is from RNAcentral. Lineage: Eukaryota; Fungi.